GGGGGAUAUUGCACAAUGGAGGAAACUCUGAUGCAGCGACGCCGCGUGAGGGAAGAAGGUUUUCGGAUUGUAAACCUCUGUCUUCGGGGACGAAACAAAUGACGGUACUCGAGGAGGAAGCCACGGCUAACUACGUGCCAGCAGCCGCGGUAAUACGUAGGUGGCAAGCGUUGUCCGGAAUUACUGGGUGUAAAGGGAGCGCAGGCGGAACUGCAAGUUGGGUGUUUAAUCUACGGGCUCAACCCGUAUCAGCAUUCAAAACUGUGGUUCUUGAGUAAUGCAGAGGUAGGCGGAAUUCCCGGUGUAGCGGUGGAAUGCGUAGAUAUCGGGAGGAACACCAGUGGCGAAGGCGGCCUACUGGGCAUCAACUGACGCUGAGGCUCGAAAGCAUGGGUAGCAAAC
RNAcentral lists this ribosomal RNA (402 nucleotides) under uncultured bacterium. RNAcentral's name for it is "bacterial SSU rRNA". It matches the Rfam family "Bacterial small subunit ribosomal RNA", at positions 356 to 773 of the family's 1533-position model. The record is from RNAcentral.